This 1318-nucleotide long non-coding RNA is filed under the name Zonotrichia albicollis (white-throated sparrow). RNAcentral's name for it is "lncRNA (ENSZALG00000000744.1)". The record is from RNAcentral. Lineage: Eukaryota; Metazoa; Chordata; Aves; Passeriformes; Passerellidae.
CCCAUUUUCCACAGAUUUAUUGGCGCCCUCUUUGCAUAUCCAGGGAAUCCCAAAGCUUUUCCCAAAUCCCGGGAUUUUUCCCCCGAGCCUUUCCCGGGAUUUUUUUUUUUCCAUGGAAUUUUUUAUUUUUCCAGGAUUUUUCUGGGAUUUCCAUCCCGGGGGGGGGAGCUCUUGCAUAGCCAGGGGGAAAGAAAAAAAAUGGGAAAAAAAAGGGGAAAAAAAAGAGCAGGAAAAUGGGGAUAAAAGCAGGAAAUUUGGGAUAAAAGCAGGAAAAUCGGAAUAAAAGCAUCAGGACCUCCAAGGAGUUAAAAUUCCCUAAAAAUUCAGGAGAUUCCCUAAAAAAAAUCCCCCCCUGAGCCAAAGCGUUUCAGGAAUGGGAAUUUUGUUGGGAAUUUCAAUCCUGAUGGGAUUUUUUUCCUAUUUUUUUUUUUAUUGUUUUGACCCCAAAUUUUCUGGGAAAAAAAAAAUUGGGAAUUUUGUGGGGGGGAAAAAAUGGGAUGGGAGUGGAGGGAUUUGCAUAAAAGCUCCGGGUUUUUCCAGCAGGGCUCAUCCUGAUUUCUCAGGGGAGGCCAAAAAUUCCCAAAAUUUUGUGGGAUGAUCCCAAAAAAAUCCAAAAAAAAAAGGCGAUCCCGGAAUUCCCAGAGCCUGGAAUAAAGUGCAGAAUGUCCAUGGGGGGGAGGGGAAAAAAGGGGAUGGGAAUUCCCAAAUUUUUAAAUAUGGGGAGAAAAUGUGGGAAAAGGGGGGAGAGGUGGGGAAUGGGGGAGCCCAAAGUUCUGGAUCCAUGGAGAUCCCAAAGUUUUUGAUCCAUUGGGAAUUGGGGAUCCCAAACUUCUCAGUCCAUGGAGAUCCCAAAGUUCUUGAUCCACAGGGAAUUGGGGAUCCCAAAGUUCUCAGUCCAGGAAAACCCACCUGGAGCAGGAGAGCCCCAGAACCAACUCCAGGAUCGAGGCCCUGGAAGAUCUCCCAGGAUCCACCUGGAGAAAUCCUCCCCUGGAAGAACUUCCCGUGUCCACCCAGAGCAACCUUUGCUGGAAGAUCUCCUGGGAUCCACCUGGAAAAUCCUUCCCUGGAACAGCCUUGGGAUCCACCAGGAGAAACCCUUUGCUGGAACAUCUUCCAGGAUCCACCUGGACCAAUCCUCCCCUGGAAGAACUUCCCGUGUCCAUCCAGACCAGUCCUUUGCUGGAACAUCUCCUGGGAUCCACCUGGUCAGAUCCUCCCCUGGAAGAACCUCCUGACAUCUCCCCACCCAACCCUCCCACACCACGUCCCCCACCCCAAUGACGGUCCAACAGCAUCAUGGUGGCCACAAUCAUGA